CUAAUACAUGCAAGUCGAGCGAGCUGAAUUCAAAGAUCCCUUCGGGGUGAUUUGUUGGACGCUAGCGGCGGAUGGGUGAGUAACACGUGGGCAAUCUGCCCUAAAGACUGGGAUACCACUUGGAAACAGGUGCUAAUACCGGAUAACAACAUGAAUCGCAUGAUUCAAGUUUGAAAGGCGGCGCAAGCUGUCACUUUAGGAUGAGCCCGCGGCGCAUUAGCUAGUUGGUGGGGUAAAGGCCUACCAAGGCAAUGAUGCGUAGCCGAGUUGAGAGACUGAUCGGCCACAUUGGGACUGAGACACGGCCCAAACUCCUACGGGAGGCAGCAGUAGGGAAUCUUCCACAAUGGACGCAAGUCUGAUGGAGCAACGCCGCGUGAGUGAAGAAGGUCUUCGGAUCGUAAAGCNCUGUUGUUGGUGAANAAG
RNAcentral lists this ribosomal RNA (426 nucleotides) under Lactobacillus delbrueckii subsp. delbrueckii. RNAcentral's name for it is "bacterial SSU rRNA". It matches the Rfam family "Bacterial small subunit ribosomal RNA", at positions 48 to 450 of the family's 1533-position model. Lineage: Bacteria; Bacillati; Bacillota; Bacilli; Lactobacillales; Lactobacillaceae. The record is from RNAcentral.